This is a non-coding RNA of Morus notabilis, 162 nucleotides long. NCBI's taxonomy places the organism in Eukaryota, Viridiplantae, Streptophyta, Magnoliopsida, Rosales, Moraceae. The record is from Rfam.
AUACUUACCUGGGCGGGGUCGAUGGGCGUUCAAGAAGGCCCAUGGCCUAGGCUGGUGACCUCCAUUGCACUCCGGAGGGGUGCCCGUCUAUGGUCUCCUCAUUGCAGGAGAGCCAACGUCAUAAUUUGUUGCAUUGGGGGCCUGCGUUCGCGCGGCCCCUGC